UGGGGAAUUUUGGACAAUGGGCGAAAGCCUGAUCCAGCAAUGCCGCGUGUGUGAAGAAGGCCUUCGGGUUGUAAAGCACUUUUGUCCGGAAAGAAAUCCUUGGCUCUAAUACAGUCGGGGGAUGACGGUACCGGAAGAAUAAGCACCGGCUAACUACGUGCCAGCAGCCGCGGUAAUACGUAGGGUGCAAGCGUUAAUCGGAAUUACUGGGCGUAAAGCGUGCGCAGGCGGUUUGCUAAGACCGAUGUGAAAUCCCCGGGCUCAACCUGGGAACUGCAUUGGUGACUGGCAGGCUAGAGUAUGGCAGAGGGGGGUAGAAUUCCACGUGUAGCAGUGAAAUGCGUAGAGAUGUGGAGGAAUACCGAUGGCGAAGGCAGCCCCCUGGGCCAAUACUGACGCUCAUGCACGAAAGCGUGGGGAGCAAACAGGAUUAGAUACCCUGGUAGUCCACGCCCUAAACGAUGUCAACUAGUUGUUGGGGAUUCAUUUCAUUAGUAACGUAGCUAACGCGUGAAGUUGACCGCCUGGGGAGUACGGUCGCAAGAUUAAAACUCAAAGGAAUUGACGGGGUCAUAGCUGUUUCCU
This 585-nucleotide ribosomal RNA is filed under the name uncultured bacterium. RNAcentral describes it as "partial 16S ribosomal RNA". It matches the Rfam family "Bacterial small subunit ribosomal RNA", at positions 355 to 1375 of the family's 1533-position model. The record is from RNAcentral.